RNAcentral lists this ribosomal RNA (198 nucleotides) under uncultured bacterium. RNAcentral describes it as "partial 16S ribosomal RNA". It matches the Rfam family "Bacterial small subunit ribosomal RNA", at positions 326 to 539 of the family's 1533-position model. The record is from RNAcentral.
ACGCUCGACACCUACGGAAGGCAGCAGUGGGGAAUAUUGCACAAUGGGGGAAACCCUGAUGCAGCGACGCCGCGUGAGCGAAGAAGUAUUUCGGUAUGUAAAGCUCUAUCAGCAGGGAAGAAAGUGACGGUACCUGACUAAGAAGCACCGGCUAAAUACGUGCCAGCAGCCGCGGUAAUCUGAGCGGGCUGGCAAGGC